CGCCGCGUACCGGGCACCCGCGCCGGCGCCGCGCAGGACGGACUGCGCACGGCCCAACCACUUGCUGCCGCGGCCCGCGCCGGCCGCGCCCACCUGCCCCGCGGGGCCCGCCCCCCGCCGUCUCCUCUCGGUCACCCACGGUGACAAGUGCGCCACCGCCUUGGGGUCACUCGGGGCGUGGGGGAAGCGUCCAGGAACGGCGGCCCCCCCCCCCGCAGCUAGCUAGUCUGUCCCCAACUGCGGCGCCAAGGGAAACCUUGGGUCGUGGAACCCGGCCCCUCCGAAGGCCAGCCUGAGAGUGGGACCCUGGCGACCUUUAAAUAGGAAGGGAGUCCGUUGUGCUUCUCUUCCUCCUCCACGCUCGGAGGAGGGGAUGCGGGCGACCCGAUGGGGAAAACGUCCAAGCCGGGAAAGAGGACGCUGCAGCCCUACCGGGAGGGGACACAAUGCUUUCCCGGCACCAGGAGUGGCAAAGGCCACGUUAACUUGAGAGUCAUACUCAGCAUUUACAAAAUAAGAGUCCAAGGGGCGAAGGGGGAGCUGUGCAGUUGGCAGGAGUAACACGCCCCAUCCUUCUAGUUUUGACCCGGAGCUAAUUGGCAUCACCUGAUAGAACACAGAAUCUCAAACUUCUCAGAAAAUUGUCUAAUGAAAUCAUAAUCUGCUUUGGUAAUUUAUAAUACAGUUAUUGAGAGCUAAGGAAAAAGCAAUUAUUCACUUUUGCCCAAUAGUUCCCCUAAGAGAAUGCCUGGCUGUCUAAUGUAUCAUGCGGGAGAUGGCGAUAACUAACUUCUUUCCCAGGUAAGAAGCAGAGCAGUGUUGGUUUGCAGCCAGUUCUAGCAUUGGAAAGCUUGUCUUAUUGGAGAGGUGAGGGGAUCUGAUGCCCUCCUGAACUGUGAAGCAAGAGAAACGCAGGUUUGCCUGUGAGCUGUGUGUGCCUGUAUGCUGUAUUUGUGAAGGCUGUGCUUAUGGUGGACAUUAUGUCACACGGUGCGAUGCAUUACCAAUGUUCAUAAGUCUGCAUACACACGUCUUAAAUCAUUAAGCCACCCGUGAUUAAUAGUGCCUGCGACCUCCUUUCAGACUCUUCCCAGGAAUAAACUUCGAGGUUUGAGGGAAAAGUAAAUGUUGUUUGUUUGUUUGUUUGUUUGUUUUUGAUGCUCACUGAAAAUCUUAUGUUUCUUAAAAAAAAAAAAAAAAACCUACAAUAAUAGAUGCUCUUAAAUUGCAGGUCAAAACGAGUUGAGUUUCUUCGGUGCUGUGGUAUAACUUUUAUCUUCAACCCGAGCUUAAAAGUAUUUAAUUUUUAAGGCUGGAUGACACCCUGCAAUACAGUCUUCUGAGUGUUCAGACAUUCUCUCUGCUAAACAAAUCUAUCCUGUUAGCCAGAGCCUGACACCUGAACCACACUAUUAAAAAUGCAUUCCCUUGUGUCUAAGAAUGUUUGUGUUAGAAGUCAGGAUACCCUCCUUCCCUUGGGGAUACUUCUCUUGGGGUUGGGGGAGGUGCUGGUGACAAUCCAGUUCUUAAUGCCAGCGCUAAUUACCCGUCAAGGGUCACUUUGAAAAUCUAUGUGGUUACACUGCUUCUCCGUGUUUUAUACUGAAGGAUCUACCUAAAAGACUUCAAAUGCCCUAAGUUUCUAGGUGUUUCUUCUAUGUGGAAACGCACAGAAGCUGAGACUGUUAUCUGCUAGCUCUACUCAUUAGAAGGCCAUAGGACCUCCCUCAAAUCCCCAAGAGAUCUUGUUUUCCUGUUUCUCUUCCCCACCCGAACACUCUUUGUUGAUGAUAUCAACAUUUGUGGCUGUGAAUUUCUUUUUUGUUGUUUGUUUCCCUAAGCAAAAAACUAGAGCCCCAGCCUUUAAAAUUACACCAGUUAAUGCCCUAAGAUUCCUGUAACCAGAGCUUGAGUCUUCACACGUCACACAAACAUCUGCUUACAUAAGCAUUCGGUCAUCCCUGAGUGAGUGAGCUGUAUGAAACAGAUCCCUCACAACAAUGAUUCAGAGCCACUGAGUCCAGCUUGGUGUAGAAGGUAACAGUAAAAUAAGCCGGGAAUGGAACAUGAGGGAUGGGAGGGGGGAGAGGCAGGGGAGGCAACUGAACCCUCCUUACCGGGCAGAGUUCCUCAAAAAGUGACACUCGAAUCCACAUCAAUUGUGUGCACAAAUAGUUUCGCGAUUCUCCAUAGCCUGAAGAUGGUUGGGAACAACCCAGUAGUAAACCAACAUACAACUAAAAUGUGGGGUACCUACCCAGUGGAAUGAUGUUCUCAUGCAUGCUACAAUGUGGAUGGACGGUGGAAACAUGCUAAGUGAAAGGCCAGUCACAGAAGGCACACACUAUACCAUGCUAUUUUGAUGGAAUGUCUACAGCAAACAAAUCCAUAGGGACAGACAGGUGAUAAAAGUACUCUACAAUUGAUUGUUGUGACGGCUGCACAGUCCUCUGAAUAUAUGACAAAACGCUGAACUCUAGGUUUUGUUUGAAUGGACAAAUUGUACACAUGAUAUGUGAAUUAUAUCUCGGUAAAGUUGUUACAAAAUUAGGAAGAAUCUGUAGAAAACUUGAGCCAGAUGCCUUAUCAAUAUAGGUGAAUGUUCAAGUUAACAAUUAGUUACACUGUAUCGCUUCAACGGUAUGCAGCGACCAAUUGUCCUCAGGAUCAAAAUCAAUUCCGAGAAGGUUCGGUUAACUCCCACCCACCUUCCUCCCUCCACCCGAUCCAUCACUCAAGUUCCAGUCCCUUCCUUACAGCCUUCUACUCGAAAGAGACCCACUCUCUGGACACUGUUCAACUCACGCUUUGGUUUCUUCCACACUCAACAGGCCCACCCUGCAAAGCUAAUUAGAGGAUGCUGUUCCUGUCACAGUGGAAGCUGCUGAAGAAACUCUCCUCAGAGCAUGUUCCCUGACAACCUGCCUCCAGCUGUUCUAUUUUACGAAAAGGCAAGACAUUCUCUGAGUUUAGAGACCCCUGUGGACUCUCAAACCCUCUGGAGCAUCUUCUCAAGAUGGCAACUCAAGCCAACUGCCUUAAAAAUUGUGCUUCAUGAUGACAAUGCAGCCACUCCUGAUGUGAUCUGAUAGACUAAGAUCAGAAGGAAGGAGAGGAGGACCUCCCUUAUCAGUGAACUAGGAGAGGAG
This is a long non-coding RNA of Meriones unguiculatus (Mongolian gerbil), 3149 nucleotides long. RefSeq lists it as uncharacterized. The record is from RefSeq and is a predicted model, not a curated record. Lineage: Eukaryota; Metazoa; Chordata; Mammalia; Rodentia; Muridae. The transcript has 3 exons.